This 1354-nucleotide ribosomal RNA is filed under the name uncultured organism. RNAcentral's name for it is "16S ribosomal RNA". It matches the Rfam family "Bacterial small subunit ribosomal RNA", at positions 93 to 1452 of the family's 1533-position model. The record is from RNAcentral.
GACCGGCGCACGGAUGAGUAACACGUAUCCAACCUGCCGAACUACUCUUGGACAGCCUUCUGAAAGGAAGAUUAAUACAAGAUGGCAUCAUGAGUCCGCAUGUUCACAAGAUUAAAGGUAUUCCGGAAGACAAUGGGGAUGCGUUCCAUUACACAGGAGGCCGGGUAACGGCCCACCUAGUCUUCGAUGGAUAGGGGUUCUGAGAGGAAGGUCCCCCACAUUGGAACUGAGACACGGCCCAAACUCCUACGGGAGGCAUGAGAGACGAAUAUUGGUCAAUGGGCGAAAGCCUGAACCAUGCAAAUAGCGUGAACGAUGACUGCCCUAUGGAUUGCAAACUUCUUUUAUAAAGAGAAUAAAGACAGCCAUGGACACCCGUUUGCAUGUACUUUAGGAAUAGGGAUUGGCUAAACUCCGUGCCAGCAGCCGCGGUAAUUAGGGAGGAUCCGAGCGGUUAUCCAGAUUUAUUGGGUUUAAAAGGGAGCGUAGAGGGAAGUUUAAGUCAGUUGUGAAAGUUUGCGGGCUCAACCGGUAAAAUUGCAGUUGAUACUGGAUAUCUUGAGUGCAGUUGAGGCAGGCGGAAUUCGUGGUGUAGCGGUGAAAUGCUUAGAUAUCACGAAGAACUCCGAUGCGAAAGGCAGCCUGCUAAGCUGCAACUGACACUGAGGCUCGAAAGUGUGGGUAUCAAACAGGAUUAGAUACCCUGGUAGUCCACACGGUAUACGAUGAAUACUCGCUGUUAGCGAUAUACUGCAAGCGGUCAAGCGAAAGCGUUAAGUAUUCCACCUGGGGAGUACGCCGGCAACGGUGAAACUCAAAGGAAUUGACGGGGGCCCGCACAAGCGGAGGAACAUGUGGUUUAAUUCGAUGAUACGCGAGGAACCUUACCCGGGCUUAAAUUGCAGAUGAAUUACGGUGAAAGCCGUAAGCCGCAAGGCAUCUGUGAAGGUGCUGCAUGGUUGUCGUCAGCUCGUGCCGUGAGGUGUCGGCUUAAGUGCCAUAACGAGCGCAACCCUUGUUGUCAGUUACUAACAGGUUCCGCUGAGGAUUCUGACAAGACUGCCAUCGUAAGAUGUGAGGAAGGUGGGGAUGACGUCAAAUCAGCACGGCCCUUAUGUCCGGGGCUACACACGUGUUACAAUGGGGGGUACAGAGGGCCGGUACCACGAGAGUGGAUGCCAAUCCCCAAAACCUCUCUCAGUUCGGACUGGAGUGUGCAACCCGACUCCAGGAAGCUGGAUUCGCUAGUAAUCGCGCAUCAGCCACGGCGCGGUGAAUACGUUCCCGGGCCUUGUACACACCGCCCGUCAAGCCAUGGGAGCCGGGGGUACAAGAAGAGCGUAACCGCGAGGAG